UACGUAGGUGGCAAGCGUUAUCCGGAAUUAUUGGGCGUAAAGAGCGCGCAGGUGGUUGAUUAAGUCUGAUGUGAAAGCCCACGGCUUAACCGUGGAGGGUCAUUGGAAACUGGUCGACGUGAGUGCAGAAGAGGGAAGUGGAAUUCCAUGUGUAGCGGUGAAAUGCGUAGAGAUAUGGAGGAACACCAGUGGCGAAGGCGGCUUCCUGGUCUGUAACUGACACUGAGGCGCGAAAGCGUGGGGAGCAAACAGGAUUAGAUA
Molecule: ribosomal RNA, 261 nt
Filed under: uncultured prokaryote
Description: partial 16S ribosomal RNA
Rfam family: Bacterial small subunit ribosomal RNA
Source: RNAcentral